Non-coding RNA from Xyrichtys novacula (pearly razorfish), 7674 nucleotides. Lineage: Eukaryota; Metazoa; Chordata; Actinopteri; Labriformes; Labridae. The record is from the annotation of a GenBank genome assembly.
GGUAGGGCUGGGCUUUUCAUUGACCAUGGGUUGGAAUAGUUCUGUGGGCAUAGUGUGUCUUCGAAGCCACUAUGUUUUCUGCACUUGUGACUAGAGAGCACCUUGAUAGCUCAGUUGGUAGAGCGGUAGACUGUAAAAUGCUCCUUGUGUGAAACGCUGUCAUCCUAAGGUCGCUGGUUCAACUCCAGCCGGAAGCACCUCCUUGUCAUUGGAAAUACCCCCAAGCCUUGUCUUUAUCUGUCAACUCCUCCAAAAUGUAAAAACACAAACAAGAUAACUCUUUCUUAAAUUUUCAACCAUCAAUUUUUUAUUCACCCAGCCUAAAAGUCCUGAUUAUCAGUUCUGGGUCCCUGGCAAUGACUGUUGGGUACAAACUGCAAAGCUUUGUUCGUCAGGUAGGGCUGGGCUUUUCAUUGACCAUGGGUUGGAAUAGUUCUGUGGGCAAAGUGUGUCUUCGAAGCCACUAUGUUUUCUGCACUUGUGACUAGAGAGCACCUUGAUAGCUCAGUUGGUAGAGCGUUGUACUGUAAGAUGCUCCUUGUGUGAAACGCUGUGAUCCUAAGGUGGCUGGUUCAACUCCAGCCGGAAGCACCUCCUUGUCAUUGGAAAUACCCCCAAGCCUUGUCUUUAUCUGUCAACUCCUCCAAAAUGUAAAAACACAAACAAGAUAACUCUUUCUUAAAUUUUCAACCAUCAAUUUUUUAUUCACCCAGCCUAAAAGUCCUGAUUAUCAGUUCUGGGUCCCUGGCAAUGACUGUUGGGUACAAACUGCAAAGCUUUGUUCGUCAGGUAGGGCUGGGCUUUUCAUUGACCAUGGGUUGGAAUAGUUCUGUGGGCAUAGUGUGUCUUCGAAGCCACUAUGUUUUCUGCACUUGUGACUAGAGAGCACCUUGAUAGCUCAGUUGGUAGAGCGGUGGACUGUAAGAUGCUCCUUGUGUGAAACGCUGUGAUCCUAAGGUCGCUGGUUCAACUCCAGCCGGAAGCACCUCCUUGUCAUUGGAAAUACCCCCAAGCCUUGUCUUUAUCUGUCAACUCCUCCAAAAUGUAAAAACACAAACAAGAUAACUCUUUCUUAAAUUUUCAACCAUCAAUUUUUUAUUCACCCAGCCUAAAAGUCCUGAUUAUCAGUUCUGGGUCCCUGGCAAUGACUGUUGGGUACAAACUGCAAAGCUUUGUUCUGCAGGUAGGGCUGGGCUUUUCAUUGAACCAUGGGUUGGAAUAGUUCUGUGGGCAUAGUGUGUCUUCGAAGCCACUAUGUUUUCUGCACUUGUGACUAGAGAGCACCUUGAUAGCUCAGUUGGUAGAACGGUGGACUGUAAGAUGCUCCUUGUGUGAAACGCUGUGAUCCUAAGGUGGCUGUUUCAACUCCAGCCGGAAGCACCUCCUUGUCAUUGGAAAUACCCCCAAGCCUUGUCUUUAUCUGUCAACUCCUCCAAAAUGUAAAAACACAAACAAGAUAACUCUUUCUUAAAUUUUCAACCAUCAAUUUUUUAUUCACCCAGCCUAAAAGUCCUGAUUAUCAGUUCUGGGUCCCUGGCAAUGACUGUUGGGUACAAACUGCAAAGCUUUGUUCGUCAGGUAGGGCUGGGCUUUUCAUUGACCAUGGGUUGGAAUAGUUCUGUGGGCAUAGUGUGUCUUCGAAGCCACUAUGUUUUCUGCACUUGUGACUACAGAGCACCUUGAUAGCUCAGCUGGUAGAACGGUGGACUGUAAGAUGCUCCUUGUGUGAAACGCUGUGAUCCUAAGGUGGCUGGUUCAACUCCAGCCGGAAGCACCUCCUCGUCAUUGGAAAUGCCCCCAAGCCUUGUCUUUAUCUGUCAACUCCUCCAAAAUGUAAAAACACAAACAAGAUAACUCUUUCUUAAAUUUUCAACCAUCAAUUUUUUAUUCACCCAGCCUAAAAGUCCUGAUUAUCAGUUCUGGGUCCCUGGCAAUGACUGUUGGGUACAAACUGCAAAGCUUUGUUCGUCAGGUAGGGCUGGGCUUUUCAUUGACCAUGGGUUGGAAUAGUUCUGUGGGCAUAGUGUGUCUUCGAAGCCACUAUGAUUUCUGCACUAGUGACUAGAGAGCCCCUUGAUAGCUCAGUUGGUAGAGCGGUGGACUGUAAGAUGCUCCUUGUGUGAAACGCUGUGAUCCUAAGGUCGCUGGUUCAACUCCUGCCGGAAGCACCUCCUUGUCAUUGGAAAUACCCCCAAGCCUUGUCUUUAUCUGUCAACUCCUCCAAAAUGUAAAAACACAAACAAGAUAACUCGUUCUUAAAUUUUCAACCAUCAAUUUUUUAUUCACCCAGCCUAAAAGUCCUGAUUAUCAGUUCUGGGUCCCUGGCAAUGACUGUUGGGUACAAACUGCAAAGCUUUGUUCGUCAGGUAGGGCUGGGCUUUUCAUUGACCAUGGGUUGGAAUAGUUCUGUGGGCAUAGUGUGUCUUCGAAGCCACUAUGUUUUCUGCACUUGUGACUAGAGAGCACCUUGAUAGCUCAAUUGGUAGAGCGGUGGACUCUAAGAUGCUCCUUGUGUGAAACGCUGUGAUCCUAAGGUGGCUGGUUCAACUCCAGCCGGAAGCACCUCCUUGUCAUUGGAAAUACCCCCAAGCCUUGUCUUUAUCUGUCAACUCCUCCAAAAUGUAAAAACACAAACAAGAUAACUCUUUCUUAAAUUUUCAACCAUCAAUUUUUUAAUCACCCAGCCUAAAAGUCCUGAUUAUCAGUUCUGGGUCCCUGGCAAUGACUGCUGGGUACAAACUGCAAAGCUUUGUUCUGCAGGUAGGGCUGGGCUUUUCAUUGACCAUGGGUUGGAAUAGUUCUGUGGGCAUAGUGUGUCUUCGAAGCCACUAUGUUUUCUGCACUUGUGACUAGAGAGCACCUUGAUAGCUCAGUUGGUAGAGCGGUGGACUGUAAGAUGCUCCUUGUGUAAAACGCUUUGAUCCUAAGGUCGCUGGUUCAACUCCAGCCGCAAGCACCUCCUUGUCAUUGGAAAUACCCCCAACCCUUGUCUUUAUCUGUCAACUCCUCCAAAAUGUAAAAACACAAACAAGAUAACUCUUUCUUAAAUUUUCAACCAUCAAUUUUUUAUUCACCCAGCCUAAAAGUCCUGAUUAUCAGUUCUGGGUCCCUGGCAAUGACUGUUGGGUACAAACUGCAAAGCUUUGUUCGUCAGGUAGGGCUGGGCUUUUCAUUGACCAUGGGUUGGAAUAGUUCUGUGGGCAUAGUGUGUCUUAGAAGCCACUAUGUUUUCUGCACUUGUGACUAGAGAGCACCUUGAUAGCUCAGUUGGUAGAGCGGUGGACUGUAAGAUGCUCCUUGUGUGAAACGCUGUGAUCCUAAGGUCGCUGGUUCAACUCCAGCCGGAAGCACCUCCUUGUCAUUGGAAAUACCCCCAAGCCUUGUCUUUAUCUGUCAACUCCUCCAAAAUGUAAAAACACAAACAAGAUAACUCUUUCUUAAAUUUUCAACCAUCAAUUUUUUAUUCACCCAGCCUAAAAGUCCUGAUUAUCAGUUCUGGGUCCCUGGCAAUGACUGUUGGGUACAAACUGCAAAGCUUUGUUCGUCAGGUAGGGCUGGGCUUUUCAUUGACCAUGGGUUGGAAUAGUUCUGUGGGCAUAGUGUGUCUUCGAAGCCACUAUGUUUUCUGCACUUGUGACUAGAGAGCACCUUGAUAGCUCAGUUGGUAGAGCGGUGGACUGUAAGAUGCUCCUUGUGUGAAACGCUGUGAUCCUAAGGUCGCUGGUUCAACUCCAGCCGGAAGCACCUCCUUGUCAUUGGAAAUACCCCCAAGCCUUGUCUUUAUCUGUCAACUCCUCCAAAAUGUAAAAACACAAACAAGAUAACUCUUUCUUAAAUUUUCAACCAUCAAUUUUUUAUUCACCCAGCCUAAAAGUCCUGAUUAUCAGUUCUGGGUCCCUGGCAAUGACUGUUGGGUACAAACUGCAAAGCUUUGUUCGUCAGGUAGGGCUGGGCUUUUCAUUGACCAUGGGUUGGAAUAGUUCUGUGGGCAUAGUGUGUCUUCGAAGCCACUAUGUUUUCUGCACUUGUGACUAGAGAGCACCUUGAUAGCUCAGUUGGUAGAGCGGUAGACUGUAAAAUGCUCCUUGUGUGAAACGCUGUCAUCCUAAGGUCGCUGGUUCAACUCCAGCCGGAAGCACCUCCUUGUCAUUGGAAAUACCCCCAAGCCUUGUCUUUAUCUGUCAACUCCUCCAAAAUGUAAAAACACAAACAAGAUAACUCUUUCUUAAAUUUUCAACCAUCAAUUUUUUAUUCACCCAGCCUAAAAGUCCUGAUUAUCAGUUCUGGGUCCCUGGCAAUGACUGUUGGGUACAAACUGCAAAGCUUUGUUCGUCAGGUAGGGCUGGGCUUUUCAUUGACCAUGGGUUGGAAUAGUUCUGUGGGCAAAGUGUGUCUUCGAAGCCACUAUGUUUUCUGCACUUGUGACUAGAGAGCACCUUGAUAGCUCAGUUGGUAGAGCGUUGUACUGUAAGAUGCUCCUUGUGUGAAACGCUGUGAUCCUAAGGUGGCUGGUUCAACUCCAGCCGGAAGCACCUCCUUGUCAUUGGAAAUACCCCCAAGCCUUGUCUUUAUCUGUCAACUCCUCCAAAAUGUAAAAACACAAACAAGAUAACUCUUUCUUAAAUUUUCAACCAUCAAUUUUUUAUUCACCCAGCCUAAAAGUCCUGAUUAUCAGUUCUGGGUCCCUGGCAAUGACUGCUGGGUACAAACUGCAAAGCUUUGUUCUGCAGGUAGGGCUGGGCUUUUCAUUGACCAUGGGUUGGAAUAGUUCUGUGGGCAUAGUGUGUCUUCGAAGCCACUAUGUUUUCUGCACUUGUGACUAGAGAGCACCUUGAUAGCUCAGUUGGUAGAGCGGUGGACUGUAAGAUGCUCCUUGUGUAAAACGCUUUGAUCCUAAGGUCGCUGGUUCAACUCCAGCCGCAAGCACCUCCUUGUCAUUGGAAAUACCCCCAACCCUUGUCUUUAUCUGUCAACUCCUCCAAAAUGUAAAAACACAAACAAGAUAACUCUUUCUUAAAUUUUCAACCAUCAAUUUUUUAUUCACCCAGCCUAAAAGUCCUGAUUAUCAGUUCUGGGUCCCUGGCAAUGACUGUUGGGUACAAACUGCAAAGCUUUGUUCGUCAGGUAGGGCUGGGCUUUUCAUUGACCAUGGGUUGGAAUAGUUCUGUGGGCAUAGUGUGUCUUAGAAGCCACUAUGUUUUCUGCACUUGUGACAAGAGAGCACCUUGAUAGCUCAGUUGGUAGAGCGGUGGACUGUAAGAUGCUCCUUGUGUGAAACGCUGUGAUCCUAAGGUCGCUGGUUCAACUCCAGCCGGAAGCACCUCCUUGUCAUUGGAAAUACCCCCAAGCCUUGUCUUUAUCUGUCAACUCCUCCAAAAUGUAAAAACACAAACAAGAUAACUCUUUCUUAAAUUUUCAACCAUCAAUUUUUUAUUCACCCAGCCUAAAAGUCCUGAUUAUCAGUUCUGGGUCCCUGGCAAUGACUGUUGGGUACAAACUGCAAAGCUUUGUUCGUCAGGUAGGGCUGGGCUUUUCAUUGACCAUGGGUUGGAAUAGUUCUGUGGGCAUAGUGUGUCUUCGAAGCCACUAUGUUUUCUGCACUUGUGACUAGAGAGCACCUUGAUAGCUCAGUUGGUAGAGCGGUGGACUGUAAGAUGCUCCUUGUGUGAAACGCUGUGAUCCUAAGGUCGCUGGUUCAACUCCAGCCGGAAGCACCUCCUUGUCAUUGGAAAUACCCCCAAGCCUUGUCUUUAUCUGUCAACUCCUCCAAAAUGUAAAAACACAAACAAGAUAACUCUUUCUUAAAUUUUCAACCAUCAAUUUUUUAUUCACCCAGCCUAAAAGUCCUGAUUAUCAGUUCUGGGUCCCUGGCAAUGACUGCUGGGUACAAACUGCAAAGCUUUGUUCUGCAGGUAGGGCUGGGCUUUUCAUUGACCAUGGGUUGGAAUAGUUCUGUGGGCAUAGUGUGUCUUCGAAGCCACUAUGUUUUCUGCACUUGUGACUAGAGAGCACCUUGAUAGCUCAUUUGGUAGAGCGGUGGACUGUAAGAUGCUCCUUGUGUGAAAAGCUGUGAUCCUAAGGUCGCUGGUUCAACUCCAGCCGGAAGCACCUCCUUGUCAUUGGAAAUACCCCCAAGCUCUGUCUUUAUCUGUCAACUCCUCCAAAAUGUAAAAACACAAACAAGAUAACUCUUUCUUAAAUUUUCAACCAUCAAUUUUUUUUUCACCCAGCCUAAAAGUCCUGAUUAUCAGUUCUGGGUCCCUGGCAAUGACUGUUGGUUACAAAUUGCAAAGCUUUGUUCGUCAGGUAGGGCUGGGCUUUUCAUUGACCAUGGGUUGGAAUAGUUCUGUGGGCAUAGUGUGUCUUCGAAGCCACUAUGUUUUCUGCACUUGUGACUAGAGAGCACCUUGAUAGCUCAGUUGGUAGAGCGGUGGACUGUAAGAUGCUCCUUGUGUGAAACUCUGUGAUCCUAAGGUCGCUGGUUCAACUCCAGCCGGAAGCACCUCCUUGUCAUUGGGAAUACCCCCAAGCCUUGUCUUUAUCUGUCAACUCCUCCAAAAUGUAAAAACACAAACAAGAUAACUCUUUCUUAAAUUUUCAACCAUCAAUUUUUUAUUCACCCAGCCUAAAAGUCCUGAUUAUCAGUUCUGGGUCCCUGGCAAUGACUGUUGGGUACAAACUGCAAAGCUUUGUUCUGCAGGUAGGGCUGGGCUUUUCAUUGACCAUGGGUUGGAAUAGUUCUGUGGGCAUAGUGUGUCUUAGAAGCCACUAUGUUUUUUGCACUUGUGACUAGAGAGCACCUUGAUAGCUCAGUUGGCAGAGCGGUGGACUGUAAGAUGCUCCUUGUGUGAAACGCUGUGAUCCUAAGGUCGCUGGUUCAACUCCAGCAGGAAGCACCUCCUUGUCAUUGGAAAUACCCCCAAGCCUUGUCUUUAUCUGUCAACUCCUCCAAAAUGUAAAAACACAAACAAGAUAACUCUUUCUUAAAUUUUCAACCAUCAAUUUUUUAUUCACCCAGCCUAAUAGUCCUGAUUAUCAGUUCUGGGUCCCUGGCAAUGACUGUUGGGUACAAACUGCAAAGCUUUGUUCUGCAGGUAGGGCUGGGCUUUUCAUUGACCAUGGGUUGGAAUAGUUCUGUGGGCAUAGUGUGUCUUAGAAGCCACUAUGUUUUCUGCACUUGUGACUACAGAGCACCUUGAUAGCUCAGUUGGCAGAGCGGUGGACGGUAAGAUGCUCCUUGUGUGAAACGCUGUGAUCCUAACGUCGCUGGUUCAACUCCAGCCGGAAGCACCUCCUUGUCAUUGGAAAUACCCCCAAGCCUUGUCUUUAUCUGUCAACUCCUCCAAAAUGUAAAAACACAAACAAGAUAACUCUUUCUUAAAUUUUCAACCAUCAAUUUUUUAUUCACCCAGCCUAAUAGUCCUGAUUAUCAGUUCUGGGUCCCUGGCAAUGACUGUUGGGUACAAACUGCAAAGCUUUGUUCUGCUGGUAGGGCUGGGCUUUUCAUUGACCAUGGGUUGGAAUAGUUCUGUGGGCAUAGUGUGUCUUCGAAGCCACUAUGUUUUCUGCACUUGUGACUAGAGAGCACCUUGAUAGCUCAGUUGGUAGAGCGGUGGACUGUAAGAUGCUCCUUGUGUGAAACGCUGUGAUCCUAAGGUCGCUGGUUCAACUCCA